This 467-nucleotide ribosomal RNA is filed under the name uncultured bacterium. Its description in RNAcentral is "partial 16S ribosomal RNA". It matches the Rfam family "Bacterial small subunit ribosomal RNA", at positions 28 to 506 of the family's 1533-position model. The record is from RNAcentral.
GACGAACGCUGGCGGCGUGCUUAACACAUGCAAGUCGAACGGAAAGGCCCUGCUUUUGUGGGGUGCUCGAGUGGCGAACGGGUGAGUAACACGUGAGUAACCUGCCCUUGACUUUGGGAUAACUUCAGGAAACUGGGGCUAAUACCGGAUAGGAGCUCCUGCUGCAUGGUGGGGGUUGGAAAGUUUCGGCGGUUGGGGAUGGACUCGCGGCUUAUCAGCUUGUUGGUGGGGUAGUGGCUUACCAAGGCUUUGACGGGUAGCCGGCCUGAGAGGGUGACCGGCAACAUGGGGACUGGGAUACGGCCAAGACUCAUCCGGGGGGCAGCGGGGGGGAUUGUUGCAAAAGGGGCGGAAGCCUGAUGCAGCAACGCCGGGGGGGGGAUGACGGCCUUCGGGUGGAAAACCGCUUCCGCCGGGGACGAAGGGGGGGGGGCGGUAAUGGGUAAAGAAGCACCGGCCAACUACGU